AGAGUUUGAUCCUGGCUCAGGAUGAACGCUAGCUACAGGCUUAACACAUGCAAGUCGAGGGGAAACGACAUCGAAAGCUUGCUUUUGAUGGGCGUCGACCGGCGCACGGGUGAGUAACGCGUAUCCAACCUGCCCACCACUUGGGGAUAACCUUGCGAAAGUAAGACUAAUACCCAAUGACGUCUCUAGAAGACAUCUGAAGAGAUUAAGAUUUAUCGGUGAUGGAUGGGGAUGCGUCUGAUUAGCUUGUUGGCGGGGUAACGGCCACCAAGGCGACGAUCAGUAGGGGGUUCUGAGAGGAAGGGUCCCUCGACAUUGGAACUGAGACACGGUCCAAACUCCUACGGGAGGCCA
Molecule: ribosomal RNA, 354 nt
Filed under: uncultured bacterium
Lineage: Bacteria
Description: bacterial SSU rRNA
Rfam family: Bacterial small subunit ribosomal RNA
Source: RNAcentral